CUAUAAUGCAGUCGAGCGAACAGAUAAGGAGCUUGCUCCUUUGAAGUUAGCGGCGGACGGGUGAGUAACACGUGGGUAACCUACCUAUAAGACUGGGAUAACUUCGGGAAACCGGAGCUAAUACCGGAUAACAUUUAGAACCGCAUGGUUCUAAAGUGAAAGAUGGUUUUGCUAUCACUUAUAGAUGGACCCGCGCCGUAUUAGCUAGUUGGUAAGGUAACGGCUUACCAAGGCGACGAUACGUAGCCGACCUGAGAGGGUGAUCGGCCACACUGGAACUGAGACACGGUCCAGACUCCUACGGGAGGCAGCAGUAGGGAAUCUUCCGCAAUGGGCGAAAGCCUGACGGAGCAACGCCGCGUGAGUGAUGAAGGGUUUCGGCUCGUAAAACUCUGUUAUUAGGGAAGAACAAAUGUGUAAGUAACUGUGCACAUCUUGACGGUACCUAAUCAGAAAGCCACGGCUAACUACGUGCCAGCAGCC
RNAcentral lists this ribosomal RNA (483 nucleotides) under uncultured bacterium. Its description in RNAcentral is "bacterial SSU rRNA". It matches the Rfam family "Bacterial small subunit ribosomal RNA", at positions 49 to 516 of the family's 1533-position model. The record is from RNAcentral.